This 379-nucleotide ribosomal RNA is filed under the name uncultured Microcystis sp. RNAcentral describes it as "bacterial SSU rRNA". It matches the Rfam family "Bacterial small subunit ribosomal RNA", at positions 196 to 593 of the family's 1533-position model. The record is from RNAcentral. Lineage: Bacteria; Bacillati; Cyanobacteriota; Cyanophyceae; Chroococcales; Microcystaceae.
CAAGGUGAAACCUAAUUGGCCUGGAGAAGAGCUUGCGUCUGAUUAGCUAGUUGGUGGGGUAAGAGCCUACCAAGGCGACGAUCAGUAGCUGGUCUGAGAGGAUGAGCAGCCACACUGGGACUGAGACACGGCCCAGACUCCUACGGGAGGCAGCAGUGGGGAACUUUCCGCAAUGGGCGAAAGCCUGACGGAGCAACGCCGCGUGAGGGAGGAAGGUCUUUGGAUUGUAAACCUCUUUUCUCAAGGAAGAAGUUCUGACGGUACUUGAGGAAUCAGCCUCGGCUAACUCCGUGCCAGCAGCCGCGGUAAUACGGGGGAGGCAAGCGUUAUCCGGAAUUAUUGGGCGUAAAGCGUCCGCAGGUGGUCAGCCAAGUCUGCU